GAUGAAGAACGUAGCGAAAUGCGAUACUUGGUGUGAAUUGCAGAAUCCCGUGAACCAUCGAGUCUUUGAACGCAAGUUGCGCCCGAAGCCAUUAGGCCGAGGGCACGCCUGCCUGGGCGUCACACGUCGUUGCCCCCCCAUCUACUCCUUCGGGAUUGCGGGGGGCGGAUGAUGGCCUCCCGUGCGCCUAGUCGCGCGGUUGGCAUAAAUGCCAAGUCCUCGGCGACGCACGCCACGACAAUCGGUGGUUGCGAAACCUCGGUUGCCCGUCGUGUGCGGUCGUCGCGCAUCGAGGGCUCGAAAAAAUUGCCGAGUUCCGGCUCGGCUUUCAACGCGACCCCAGGUCAGGCGGGGUUACCCGCUGAAUUUAAGCAUAUCAAUAAGCGGAGGA
RNAcentral lists this unclassified non-coding RNA (391 nucleotides) under soil metagenome. RNAcentral's name for it is "partial contains 5.8S ribosomal RNA, internal transcribed spacer 2, and large subunit ribosomal RNA". The stretch from base 1 to 122 matches the Rfam family "5.8S ribosomal RNA", at positions 35 to 154 of the family's 154-position model. The record is from RNAcentral.